This 212-nucleotide ribosomal RNA is filed under the name uncultured bacterium. RNAcentral describes it as "partial 16S ribosomal RNA". It matches the Rfam family "Bacterial small subunit ribosomal RNA", at positions 524 to 734 of the family's 1533-position model. The record is from RNAcentral.
UACGUAGGGCGCAAGCGUUUGUCCGGAAUUAUUGGGCGUAAAGAGCUCGUAGGCGGUUUGUCGCGUCUGCUGUGAAAACCUAAGGCUCAACCUUGGGCUUGCAGUGGGUACGGGCAGACUAGAGUGCGGUAGGGAGACUGGAAUUCCUGGUGUAGCGGUGAAAUGCGCAGAUAUCAGGAGGAACACCGGUGGCCGAAGGCGGGUCUCUGGGC